AACUUGAUUAGUCAUAAAAUCGAUUUUAAUCUACUUCUAGCCACAAAUUAAAGUGAUUUGUAAAAAAGUAAAAAAUUAAAGAGCAAAUGUCUAAACUCAAUAUCUUAUAGUUUUAUGAUAUUUAAACGGUUUUGAAUGCUCUGUUUCUCCGAUAUCUGCAAUUAAUGUCUAUUAUAAUUGUCGAUUUCAUUAUCGCAAAGCACAAGUUUCCAUCCUAUAUCGAAUAGUAACAGAUUAAUGCCGGUGUUAGCAGUAGUACAAACGUUCGUUCGAGCAGUAUGCAUAUGUGGCUUCUCGCAACUGCAAUUAUGUGUAUUUUUUUAUUUGCGAUAAAAAAAUCUUAUAAUAUCGAUUUUAAAAAUUGGCCGUUUUCCUCCUAAUUUUCAUACCACGAUGAAAUGCUUAGAAGAAUGAAAAAGGAAUCGCUUUAAUAAACUUUGGAAAUAUAUAUAUAUAUAUGUUCAUAUAUAUAUAUAUAUACACAGUACUUACGGUAUCGAAGAACUCGGUGAACUUGCUGAUGUAAUACCACCAACAUGUGUUGGCCAUUCGUAGCGCCAUAGCGUUGUUGGAGUAGUCGACCGGUUGGCACCGGAAACUGUAUCCUUUCGCCCAGCCACUCAUCAAAUACUAAAACAAGAAAAUGGUGGAAAGUGAGGACAAUAAAAGGGGGCGCAUUCACCGGCACGGGGACGGCUGCGAGUUAUACAGUUCCGACUGUACGACAAUCAGCGUAUAGAGCGCGAUCGCCCGCUUUUCACCGGGAAACUCUGUUCCUCCGCUCGCUUUGUUCGAUCAAGAAGCCAGCCGAAGGGGCGGAGACAGGCGACAAAAGAGUCCUCUCUCGGUUUCGGUUUCUCUUUCUCUCUCUCUCUCUCUCUCUCUCUCGCAAGAUUCUCGCUAUACUAUUUCAAAUUCUAAAAAGCCCGCGCGCUCCUUCGAGAAUUACGAACAAUAGUUUGUUUCCUGUAUCAUUUCGGCCGUUUUUGCAAUUUCUUCGGAAAAAGAAAAAAAAAAAAAAG
Long non-coding RNA from Apis dorsata (giant honeybee), 1022 nucleotides. RefSeq lists it as uncharacterized. The record is from RefSeq and is a predicted model, not a curated record. The transcript has 2 exons. Lineage: Eukaryota; Metazoa; Arthropoda; Insecta; Hymenoptera; Apidae.